ACUCAAAUGAAUUGACGGGGACCCGCACAAGCGGAGGAUGAUGUGGUUUAAUAUGACGAUACGCGUAGAACCUUACCCAGGCUUGACAUCCUUGGAAUCCACUGGAAACAGAGGAGUGCCUUCGGGAACCAAGUGACAGGUGCUGCAUGGCCGUCGUCAGCUCGUGUCGUGAGAUGUUGGGUUAAGUCCCGCAACGAGCGCAACCCUUACCGUAUGUUGUAUUUUUCAUACGAGACUGCCCGAGCCAAUCGGGAGGAAGGCGGGGAUGAGGUCAGGUCGGCAUGGCCCUUACGCCUGGGGCCACACACGUCAUACAAUGGCCGGUACAAAGCGUCGCAAAGCCGCGAGGCGGAGCUAAUCGCAUCAAAACCGGUCUCAGUUCGGAUUGGAGGCUGCAACUCGCCUCCAUGAAGUCGGAUUCGCUAGUAAACGUAGGUCAGCACACUACGUUGAAUACGUUCCCGGGUCUUGCACACACCGCCCGU
RNAcentral lists this ribosomal RNA (485 nucleotides) under uncultured bacterium. RNAcentral describes it as "partial 16S ribosomal RNA". It matches the Rfam family "Bacterial small subunit ribosomal RNA", at positions 899 to 1397 of the family's 1533-position model. The record is from RNAcentral.